AGGCAAAGUCACAUCACCAUACAGUUUUCCUGUAAGCAUGUGUAACUCCACACUUGGUGUUAUUGCCAUUUCAUCCAUGGUCAACACACACUCCUUCUCCAGGUCUGUAAAUCCAUUCACCUUCAGUUUGAGGAAGUCAAAUACUUCUGUCAAAACACCAGGCUCAAAUUUAACUGUUUGCAUCCUUCUUUGCAGGGUUCUAAUUCCUGGCAGGGGAAUCUGCAUGUCCCGCAAGGCCUUGUAUCCUGUGGAACCUGCAGCAAAUCGAAGUUUUAAUGCCUUCUUCAGUGUAUCGUUGCUCCAUAUCAUCCCUUUUGUGGAGCUGUGAAUCUGUGGUUAGUGGUUCCCUGUUGUGCUGACUGACUGACGUGGGCUCUCCCUGUCUCUCCUCAUCUGCCAUGUUGACUCUUUCUACUGUCUCACUUUCCCUUCUCUCAGUCUCCUCAGUCUUGGAAACUGUUUAGCUGUGAUCAGCAGCUAUGGACCAUGCAUUUGCAGGUGAAAGAGGGCAUCGUGGAGUUGGGGCCUUCCUCUUUUUUUCAUAGAGUGAUGCGCAAAGAUGGUGGGUAUCGCAUCUUCUCUCAGCCUCAUCUUGCCCUUGCUGGUCUUAAUAAACUGGUCAGCCUCAAAAUGUGCCUGCAGAGUUACCUCACCUUAGUUGACAUACACCACAGCUCACUUUUAU
Melanotaenia boesemani (Boeseman's rainbowfish) is the source of this 685-nucleotide long non-coding RNA. RefSeq lists it as uncharacterized. The transcript has 3 exons. The record is from RefSeq and is a predicted model, not a curated record. Lineage: Eukaryota; Metazoa; Chordata; Actinopteri; Atheriniformes; Melanotaeniidae.